UGUGUGUGUGUGUAGAUUAAACAUGAACGGGCCAAAACGGACAUGGCAGCAGGUCAAAAUCAAAUACAAGAACAUUCUGCAGAAUGCAGUGAAAAAGAAUACCCACAGACAAGGCACGGGUGGUGGGUCACCAAAGGCUGACCUUACCCCAGCAGAGGACAUGGCCUUGGAGCUAAAUAAAGGCAGGCCUGUCUUAGAGGGGAUCCCUGGGGGGAAAGAGACGAGCAUAGGUUCCUCCCAAGAUGCCACCCGCUUCAUUCAAGUGUCUGGCAGCACUGUGUUCCUGUUAGAGCCACCAGCACAAGCACCAGACGAUGCUGAUCCAGGUGAAGGCCCCAGUGCAGCAGCAACAGCACAUGAUGGAGACGAUGAUGAGGAGGAGACCAUCUCUCUGGAUUCCAGAAGGCAUGAGGACCCAGAUGCUAUACAGUGGGAAAACCAGCCUGGCAACAUAGUGCGUAUUAAUAAAAGGACACCACAUCCUGCCAAAUUCCAGCUGCG
Molecule: long non-coding RNA, 501 nt
Filed under: Salmo salar (Atlantic salmon)
Lineage: Eukaryota; Metazoa; Chordata; Actinopteri; Salmoniformes; Salmonidae
Description: lncRNA (ENSSSAG00000095224.1)
Source: RNAcentral